This 92-nucleotide small nucleolar RNA is filed under the name Carassius auratus (goldfish). RNAcentral's name for it is "Small nucleolar SNORD12/SNORD106 (ENSCARG00000015936.1)". It matches the Rfam family "Small nucleolar SNORD12/SNORD106". Rfam says of the family: This family belong to the C/D class of snoRNA which contain the C (UGAUGA) and D (CUGA) box motifs. Lineage: Eukaryota; Metazoa; Chordata; Actinopteri; Cypriniformes; Cyprinidae. The record is from Rfam by way of RNAcentral.
UCUGGUAGCGAUGAUGACUUAUCUUUUUUCCCCAGCAGACCGACACUGUUGACCCUUUCUAACAAAUAAGCCAAAUGCUCUGAGCAACCAUG